AUACGUAGGGUGCGAGCGUUAAUCGGAAUUACUGGGCGUAAAGCGUGCGCAGGUGGUUUUGUAAGUCAGAUGUGAAAUCCCCGGGCUUAACCUGGGAACUGCGUUUGAAACUGCAAGGCUAGAGUGUGGCAGAGGGGGGUGGAAUUCCGCGUGUAGCAGUGAAAUGCGUAGAUAUGUGGAGGAACACCGAUGGCGAAGGCAGCCCCCUGGGUCAACCCUGACGCUCAGGCACGAAAGCAUGGGGAGCAAACAGGAUUAGAUACCCCAGUAGUCC
This 274-nucleotide ribosomal RNA is filed under the name uncultured bacterium. RNAcentral's name for it is "partial 16S ribosomal RNA". It matches the Rfam family "Bacterial small subunit ribosomal RNA", at positions 523 to 796 of the family's 1533-position model. The record is from RNAcentral.